Non-coding RNA from Corylus avellana, 1604 nucleotides. The record is from RefSeq and is a predicted model, not a curated record. Lineage: Eukaryota; Viridiplantae; Streptophyta; Magnoliopsida; Fagales; Betulaceae.
UGGUUUGGAUUUAUUUAUGAUAAAUAAGCAGUGGAAAGAUGGAGAUUAGUGAAUUUGAUUACCUAAUUAUUAUUUGAAACGCUCUCCGUUCAUUGUAUUUGUACCCAAAAUCUGAAAAAGAAAAUGGUAAAAAAGUUAAGGAAAAAUAACAAAUAUCACCCUUGCAAUUCAACAUAUCCUUGCAUUUUCAAUUUGAACAAUUUAGCCCCUAAAUAUCAUAUAUGUAACGUUCAAAUAGAGGUUUAAUUUGUUGCAGAUCUAAUCCGCAGGGGGUAAAUUAUUCUAAUAAUUUAGAGAUAUCACCACCAUAUGAAUUUAAUCUGACGGUCAUUGAUACGUGAAUUACGGACUGCAUGAUUAAUAUAACUUGAUUCCAAAUUUUUUUUUUUGUGUGUGUGUGUGUGGCCAAUCUUGAAGCAUGUACCAGGCCGGGUUCGUUGAGAAAGCAGAGGAGCACUAAAGUUGAAGGGAGUUGACGAAAUUUUGUUGAUUAGUGAGAUCUCAAGUUACUUCCUUGUUUGGAGCGGAAGUUCUUUGGUCAAAAGGGUAUACUGGUGCAAAAGUCAAAAUGGCCAUAUUUGACACUCGCAUUCGAGCUAAUCACCCACAUUUUCGUAAUAUCAAGGAGCGUACAAACUGGACAAAUGAGGAUACGCUAAAUGACAAUCUCAGACAUGGGACAUUUGUUGCUGGUGUUAUUGCUGGUGGAGAUGCAGAGUGUCUUGGUUUUGCUCCAGAUACCGAGAUGAUUUAUGUUUUUCGCUUAUUUACUAAUGCACAUUGUUACUGGUAUUACUGCUUGUGUGUUCUUAUAUUUAGUUUUCUAUGUACACCAUUCCGACUUGAAGUUGCAUUUAUGUCUCACUUUUUAUCCUCUAUAUUCGGUUUCAAGUUCUGCAAUCAUUAUGUGUAAUUCUGAAUUGCAGUUUAUCCAUAGGAUUUUUAAGUACUCCUAAGUUUGAGAAAGCCAAGCACGACUUGUAAAAUGACUGAAUCUAUCUUUCAAUGGUUCACUAAAAUUUGUUUUCAGGAGUUUUUGAGAAGUUUGUAUUUAGUACAUAAUAUGUUUAUUGGGCUACUUUUUUUAUUUUUUUUAUUUUUUUUAAUUUUGAUUUUGUCAAGAAAACUUGUUGAGAUUGUGAGAAGAUUUUAUUCAGCCUAUUGCAGGUAGCAUACACGUCAUGGUUCCUUGAUUGGUUCAACUAUGCCGUUGCAACCAAUAUGGAUGGGAUGUAUUGAAUUUGAGUACAGGCGGACCUGAUUACUUGGAUCUCCCGUUUGUUGAGAAGGUUUGGGAAAUAACAGCAAAUAACAUAAUUAUGGUUUCGGCAAUUGGAAAUGAUGGACCACUUUAUGGCACUUUAAACAAUCCAGCAGACCAAAGUGAUGUCAUUGGUGUUGCUGGCAUUGACUACAGUGACCACAUAGCCUCAUUUUCUUCACGUGGCAUGAGUACUUGGGAGAUUCCUCAUGGGUACCCUGUAAUCAUUCAUUUCAUAGGAACUGAAAUUUGUCCACAGAUUGAAUUUUUUUUUUUUUUUUUUCUUUCUUUCUUUUGGUUGUUAAUAUAUAUAUAUAUAUAUAUCUGCUUCUUAUUUCCUUUA